CCUACGGGGGCUGCAGUGGGGAAUAUUGGACAAUGGGCGAAAGCCUGAUCCAGCCAUGCCGCGUGUGUGAAGAAGGCCUUCGGGUUGUAAAGCACUUUCAGUGGGGAAGAAAGCCUUGGGGCUAAUACCCUCGAGGAAGGACAUCACCCACAGAAGAAGCACCGGCUAACUCCGUGCCAGCAGCCGCGGUAAUACGGAGGGUGCGAGCAUUAAUCGGAAUUACUGGGCGUAAAGCGCGCGUAGGCGGUCUGAUAAGCCGGUUGUGAAAGCCCCGGGCUCAACCUGGGAACGGCAUCCGGAACUGUCAGGCUAGAGUGCAGGAGAGGAAGGUAGAAUUCCCGGUGUAGCGGUGAAAUGCGUAGAGAUCGGGAGGAAUACCAGUGGCGAAGGCGGCCUUCUGGACUGACACUGACGCUGAGGUGCGAAAGCGUGGGUAGCAAACAGGAUUAGAUACCCCAGUAGUC
RNAcentral lists this ribosomal RNA (464 nucleotides) under Vreelandella stevensii. Its description in RNAcentral is "partial 16S ribosomal RNA". It matches the Rfam family "Bacterial small subunit ribosomal RNA", at positions 338 to 795 of the family's 1533-position model. Lineage: Bacteria; Pseudomonadati; Pseudomonadota; Gammaproteobacteria; Oceanospirillales; Halomonadaceae. The record is from RNAcentral.